Rosa rugosa (rugosa rose) is the source of this 1527-nucleotide long non-coding RNA. RefSeq lists it as uncharacterized. The record is from RefSeq and is a predicted model, not a curated record. Lineage: Eukaryota; Viridiplantae; Streptophyta; Magnoliopsida; Rosales; Rosaceae. The transcript is spliced from 4 exons.
CCUACCUAAAAAAAAAACGGGAGCUGGCACGCAUUUUUUUCUGUCAAAAAUUAAACUUCCCCGUUCCCCCUCUUUUUUUUCACCAGCUUUUCUUUAGUAGACCUCUCUCUCACACUCUCUUGCUGCAAGAAUCUGUACCUCGUCGAAUGAACCAAACAAAAUUGGAGGUCAGAUUCUUUAGCUCCGGGUAAAUCAAAUUCACUCCCUGCGAAUGGGUAAUUCUCUCUACUUCUCGAUCUUUCUAUCACUUUUCGUUCUGGGCAGGGCAGGUCUAUAUGCUUUCAGUUUUGGGUGACAGUUGUUGGCACUGGUUCAUAAUUCUUCGUUGGCUUGCUUUCACUAGUAUUUUACAUUAAUGAAGUUUGCCGCUGCCUCUACAUCCUUUUACUAAAUCUGUUUUCUAAUUCAAAUGCCCUAUUCAACUCAAACCCUUGUUUUCUCCCAUAGACCCUCUUUCUCUUUCUCUUUCUCUUUGAUCUCGAUGUCACCCACCAGAUUGAGUUUUGAAGUUGGCGGCCACUGGGUUGACCCGGAUUUAGGGAUUAUUUUGUUUUGGGUAUCUCAAUUCAGUCUCCUCUCUUAUCGAACCCGAUUCAACAGUCGAGCUGGUGUCCGCCUCGUUGGACAGCGUGCGAAGCACUUAAUUGAAGCAGCAGUAGCAACAUAUUCCCCUCCACCUCUGUCGCUCAAUCUGAUGAAUAUGAUUGCAGGUUCUCAAAAUAUGGUGGGGAGGUGGUAAAGAUUGACAUUCAAGAUUGUGGCUUCAUAUCAUGGUUCUUUUGAUGGGUAUAUAGCGAAAGCAAUAGGAUCUUUACACUGUCCAAAGGUGCUAUCUUUGUGUUGUUGAGCAAUCUCUUGGAAAAUUUGUUGAUGAGAAGAAAGCCCAGAUGCUGAAAGACAAAGGAUUACCUUUGGAAAGGGCUGCUACUGUACGGGAGAUAUGGACGCCUUCUAAGACUGGAGGUAUUCGGAGCUUGUUGAUCUAAGACUGGAGGGACGGGUGACAAGUGAUGAAGAGGUGGGAGAAAAUUAAUUUUGCGUGUCGCGUUGUGUUGUGUUCAAGAGGAAACAGAGCUUAGCUUGGCCAAAUAUGAAUACUAUUGUUGGCAUGCUGGAAGGUGGCAUCCCUUUAGGCCAGCCAAAUUUUGAUUCGUUGAAUUUCUUGCGCUUUAUUGGACGUUGAUUCACUGAGGCGUCUAUGAUUGAAGAGGGAACUCUGGGAAAUGAUAGAGUGCUGUAUCGAUCAAGAGUCAAAUUCUUUUCCUUCACGUCUCUUCACGGGAGGUUUCAGGCCCAAGAUAGUAUCAAGUAGUUGAGUAGCUUGUGUAUAGUUAAUUGUGGAUGGGAAGUAAAUGAAUUUGAUUUUGGAUUUUUUUACACUAUUGGAAUCUAUUGUAUAAUUCUUAUAUCUUUCCACAAGGCUGAAGGUAUCCGGGAAUGGUUGUAAUUUGAAAGAGUUUCUUGAGCAAGUAAAUAAUACAUGAUUGUGUGGAAAUUAGAUGUAGCCUUUGCAUUACUUGCCUUAUA